AAACACCGUUUUUUCAGAGAAAUGUCCCAACAGAUUAAAAAGUCCAACAGGUAAAUUUAUGGAUAUACCCAACCCAGUGGGGCCUUCUUAAAGGACCACUAGAGGCACCCAGACCACUUCAGUUCAAUGAAAUGGUCUGGGUGCCAGGUCCAUCUAGGAUUAACUCUGCCUGCGUAAACAUGGUAGUUUCAGAGAAACUGCUAUGUUUACA
Pelobates cultripes (western spadefoot toad) is the source of this 211-nucleotide non-coding RNA. Lineage: Eukaryota; Metazoa; Chordata; Amphibia; Anura; Pelobatidae. The record is from the annotation of a GenBank genome assembly.